This 491-nucleotide ribosomal RNA is filed under the name uncultured bacterium. RNAcentral describes it as "partial 16S ribosomal RNA". It matches the Rfam family "Bacterial small subunit ribosomal RNA", at positions 29 to 506 of the family's 1533-position model. The record is from RNAcentral.
AGUGAACGCUGGCGGUAGGCCUAACACAUGCAAGUCGAACGGCAGCACAGUAAGAGCUUGCUCUUACGGGUGGCGAGUGGCGGACGGGUGAGGAAUACAUCGGAAUCUACUUUUUCGUGGGGGAUAACGUAGGGAAACUUACGCUAAUACCGCAUACGACCUACGGGUGAAAGCAGGGGAUCUUCGGACCUUGCGCGAUUGAAUGAGCCGAUGUCGGAUUAGCUAGUUGGCGGGGUAAAGGCCCACCAAGGCGACGAUCCGUAGCUGGUCUGAGAGGAUGAUCAGCCAAACUGGAACUGAGACACGGUCCAGACUCCUACGGGAGGCAGCAGUGGGAAAUAUUGGACAAUGGGCGCAAGCCUGAUCCAGCCAUACCGGGUGGGUGAAGAAGGCCUUCGGGUUGUAAAGCCCUUUUGUUGGGAAAGAGAAGCAGCAGGUUAAUACCCCGCUGUCCUGACGGUACACAAAGAAUAAGCACCGGCUAACUUCGU